Molecule: non-coding RNA, 447 nt
Organism: Delphinapterus leucas (beluga whale)
Lineage: Eukaryota; Metazoa; Chordata; Mammalia; Artiodactyla; Monodontidae
Source: RefSeq, a predicted model, not a curated record
UCAACCACUGCGCCACCAGGGAAUUUUGAAGUCAAGUUGGUAGACGGCGAAAGGCAUCCCCAGGAGCCACUUGUGAGGAUGCACUGGCAGAGAAGCCUAGCUUGCUGUCCAGCCUGCCACUUGCCGAGCCCCAGAACCGACAGCCGCGUGAGGACACACCUCAGGGCAUGAGGUGCUGAGUUAAGAGAUGACGGCAUAUUAUAUCAUCUUCCUGGGGUGCUCUCAGGCUCUGAGGGUCAGAAUUCUCAAGACACAGCUUGGAGAAAACUGUAGAAGGGACUAAACUCUCACUCCCUUUCGAAACCAGAUUCCUCAAGGAUCGUCCUACUCAGUGGUUUCCUCAAACAAAAGCACUUUAAUAGGUGGUCGAGGAAGACAGUGUAGCCUAUUCAAGACAGCCAUCCACCACAGUUACAGAAAAGCAGCGGUGAGGGCUGCUUCUGACUC